This is an RNA transcript of Tyto alba (common barn owl), 5045 nucleotides long. It is a transcript of the gene named solute carrier family 46 member 1, with no coding region annotated. The record is from RefSeq and is a predicted model, not a curated record. NCBI's taxonomy places the organism in Eukaryota, Metazoa, Chordata, Aves, Strigiformes, Tytonidae. The transcript is spliced from 6 exons.
GUUCCCCGGUUCCCCCGGGGCGGGGCCGUCCCGUCGCGUCCCGUCGCGUCCCGGGUGGAGCCCCCCCCCCCCCCGCCGCCAUGGCCGCGCCGCCGCCGCCCGCCCGCCGGUGCCCGCCGGUGCCCGCCGCCGAGCCUCUCCUCUUCCUGGCCACCCUGGCCCUCGGCCUGCAGGGCCCGCUCGCCACCCAGUACCUCUGGGACCGGCUGGGGACCGAGCGCGGCUACAGCGGCCCCAACGCCAGCGGCCCCGCCGGCUGCGGGAACGGCAGCGCCGGCGAUGAGCCCCUGCGGCAGGAGGUGGAAGCGCUGGUCUCCCGCUGGAACCUCUAUAUCAACCUGGGCGGCUUCUUCGUGGGUCUCUUCUCCGUGACGCUCUUGGGGCCGUGGAGCGACAGCGUGGGCCGCCGCCCGGCGCUUGUCCUGCCGGCACUGGGGAUGGCCGUGCAAGCGGCCGUCUACCUCCUCGUCAUGUACCUGCAGCUGCACGUCGCCUACUUUCUCCUCGGGCGCCUCGUGAGCGGCCUCCUGGGCGACUACAACCUGAUCCUGGCCGGCUGCUUCGCCCACGCGGCCGACACCAGCGACCCAGGCGGGCGCACGUUCCGCGUGGCUGCCCUCGAGGCGUGCCUCGGCGUGGCGGGCAUGCUGGCCAGCGUCGGCGGCGGCCAGUGGCGCAAGGCGCAGGGCUACAUCAACCCCUUUUGGCUGGUGCUCGCCGCCAGCCUCGCCGCCGCGCUCUACGCCGCUUUCUGUCUGCAGGAGUCGGUGAAGGAGCCGAAACCAGCCAAGCUGUUCACGCUCGGGCAUUACAGGGCUGUCUGCAGGCUGUACACGGCCCCGGAACACCUGAGCUCCAGGAGGAAGCUCGCUCUUUACUCCCUGGCUUUUUUUCUUCUUGUCACUGUACAUUUUGGAACCAAGGACCUCUUCGUUUUGUACGAGCUUGGCUCCCCUCUCUGCUGGGCUGCUGACCUCAUUGGGUACGGCUCAGCCGCCAGCUACCUGGCUUACCUGAGCAGUCUGGGAGGGCUGCGGCUGCUGCAGCUCUGCCUUGGAGACACCUGGGUGGCAGAGAUGGGCUUGAUCUCCAAUAUUUCAGGACUGGUGGUGAUUUCUCUUGCUACGACAACACCGCUGAUGUUUACAGGUUAUGGGAUUCUGUUCCUUUCCAUGGCAGCUACUCCAGUCAUACGAGCCAAGCUCUCCAAGCUGGUCAGUGAGACGGAACAGGGUGCUCUUUUUGCUUCUGUUGCCUGCGUGGAAGGGCUGUGUUCACUUGUGGCUACAGGAGUGUUCAACUCUCUCUAUCCUGCCAGCUUGCACUUCAUGAGGGGCUUCCCGUUUCUCUUCGGGGCUAUAAUUCUUCUUAUUCCAGCAGCUAUUAUUGGGUGGAUAGAAAUCUGGGACUCGAAGCAGGACUACAGUCACUUCUCAGGUGCUUCCCUGUCCGCUGCAGAUGGCUCAGCAGCAACUUAGCAACAAGGAAUUGGCCAGCUCGGCAGUGUCCAUCUGAAGACUGUGCUUUAUUCUUCCCUUGGAGGACAAAUUAGAGUGGGAGGGGCACCUUGCUUGUCCUUACUAAUUUUUUAAUGCCAAAUAGUUGGAAAUCAUGGCUCUGGCUACCAGUAGGAACUUGAUUUGCAGAUGUGGAUGCCUCCUCACCAUUGUGUUGGCUCAUCUGUCAGAGAAAACUCAGGACCCAAAAGCCGAUCAAGAGUAAAAGUUAUUGUUGCCCAUUUGCAAGGCUGGUUAGUGGUUUGGUGGGAAGAGAAGGUUCUGUGGCAUGCUUUUAGUGGUGAGAGAAGACUGAAUUCCGGUUUAAUUGCCAAACAUGUUCACCUCUGAGUACUACAGUGUGCAGCAGAUGAGGUGGUGGUUUGAUUGAGGCUCACACAAAAGCCUGCAGAGUGAGACUGAAGCAGAGAUACCCAACAGCAUGCUGCUGAGGAGAAAGAUUGCUCUCCAAAACAGCGUGUUGUCAAUAAAAGUCAUACAAAUGUCACAUGCCAGACUAGGUUCCUGCAGAAAUCCUUACGAUGAGUGGUAGUUUACCACGGGAGUGCUAUUGCCAUCCUUAUUGACCAAACUCGCUGUGUGCUUCGCAAGUCAGAGGUGUCCAAGGGAGAGAAUCUAAUGCAUGAAGUGCUUGUAGUGAGCAGUGCCAGUGGUGUGUCCUGCCUGGCUGUCUGCAGCUCACCCGGGAUUGCAAAGACUCCAUGGACACCAAUGCUAGCAGCUGCUCAGUGUUGUGCAGCGAAGUGGAACUUGUGCACUGGCCCUGCUUUCCUGUUUGUGUCAGUGUGCUUGCAAAGGAGAAAUUCAAUAGGAACUAUUAUGCUCUAUUAAAAAAAUAAAACCAAAGUUUUUCUAGGCUGUCCUCCAAGAACUACAACCAUGAAGCAAAGACAUGAUCUGUGCAUCGUGGCUAUGGGCAGCAGGCAGAGUCCCUGGGGAUGCUGUGAGCUAUGUCAGUCCAUGCAAAGAUGAGUGUGAAGUGUGGGUCCCCACCGAGAAUGGUGCCUGGAGAAUGUCAAUUCUGCUGCCCCUUCAGAGGAUGAGAGAGCGUGAUGGCAAGAGAGAGCAAGCGUGAGAAGGCUGCAGGGAAAGAAGCAUGUGACACAAAGAGAAAAGAGGUAGGGAUUUAGCAUGUAAACAAGAUUUAUUAAUAAUGACUGAUAGAACAACUUUAAACACUCUCUGACAUGACAUAACAAAGGAAUAAGGAAGGGUGCAAACAGAAGAAUUAAUUUCCUUGAGACUGUGCUCCAACAGGAAGGGGCUGGGUAUGGGAUGUUUUGUCAAGAGCAGGGUGAGUUCAUUAAGGUGAAGAUAACUGGAUUAUGGGGAGACGAAGAGUCACAGCCUGGGCAGCCAAAGCAUGAGAUGGGAUCUUACUGUAGGUGAGACACCUAAGCUGCAGGGGACAAGUAAAUCUCUAUGUUGAAUGGUGGGUGAGGGGGUUAAUUGCUAGAGAGAUCCUGGGAAACAAGACACAAGAGUCUUACUGUGUAUUAUUGUAGGGAGAAAAAUCCUUAGUACUGUUUGUGUGGGACUCCUUCAGCGGCUAUGGAGGCCUUGACAUUCAAUCAGCUAUUCAAGACUUUUCCCUGAAGCAGCUCACAAGUGGCUUUUAUCCUUUGGCAGAUUCACCUUUGGGCUCAUCUACUGGCUUCCUCAUGUUUAAUCUGGAGAUUAGAUAGAUUCUAUUUCUGAUGAAUGCUGGGUAGAUACAGCUAUUAACCUUUCACUGGAGAGCAAAGAUGCCAUUAACUGUGAGUUGAUAAGAUUUAUCCAUAAAACUGUGAUUAAGCAUGAGAAUUUAACUUUUUUUUUUUUUUUUCUCAGAUGUUCAUGGAUCUAAGCCAAAAGAAAAUGUGGUUAUGUUCCUGACAGUUAAGGCAGGCAGCAAGGCUUCAGGGAGAGCCACGAGAAGGACAAAGUGGCUGAGACUCCUCAUUACUUCCUGAAAGGGUUGAGGUGUCCUGAGCAGGGACAGGCAAGGGGCUUGCUGCUUCUGCAGGCUGGUGGUCUGAGCGUGCCUUACUCUUCCUCCUCUGUGUGCUCUGAACAAGGAUGUCUUUUUGCAUUACUCGCUUUGCUCUGCAUCAAAACAGACAAACUCAAGUAGGAGCUGCAAUUUCUGGGCCUAAUUGCCAAAUGGCAUGCUGUGGAGAGCCUGCUCACCCUCCAAGUGGGUGUGAGAAGCAGGACAAGGCUGGGAGUGCAGGUUUCAGGGGAGGUGUGUCAGGGUGCCUGUGGUUCCUCACCUGCAGCGCGAGCAGCCGGUGCUGCCAGUCCUGCUCCCAGCCAGUGCUCACACCGAGCACCCUCCGCCUCUGCCCUUUGCAUUGACUUUGCUCUUUCUGGGCAUUUCAAGGUGAGUAGCUGCAAAAAGACCCAGUGGAUGUUGAGAAGAGGUCAGUUGAAAGAAAUAAAUGCUACUUGGCAUUUCAUCCAGCAGAGAGUAUGGACAACACUGAGCCCGAGGACCAUAGCAGAGCUGUCAGGGGUGAGCAGUAGUGAGCAAGGAGAUAAGUCAGCUCCUGUUUGGAUGAACAGCCCACGGGAGAUCUGCUGUGGAGUGCAAACAACAGAAUAAAAUACAGCCAGUGUAUAACAACUCCACAAGUACAGUACGGCAAUUAGUGUCUUCUGCAUCUGCACAGAUAUAUGUUUUUCAGAGUCACAAGCCAGCCUCCUAUGCCCUGUAAGUACAGACCUGAUAAAGUGGUAAAGCUGAGACAUCAGAUGGAGGGAAGGGGGUUGGUUUUCUUUCACUUUUUGCAAAGAUCCUGCAGAAACUUCACAUGAUCUUACCUCAAACUUCCAUCACCAGAGUUAAAAGCACAAAGUGGUUUUGCAGCAUUAGGAGGUGAAAGGCCCUCAAGGAGGGAGUGAGCUGUAGUGAUAAGGGGCUGUUCCUGGGAAAGAGAAAGCUGCUGCUGAGCAGUUUAGAAGGCCUCUGUGUGUUAUCUUUCCCAAACAUGGGGAUUUCGUUAGGGCUUAAGUUUUAUUUGCACUUUCCUGCUCUCAGCUUCUGACCACAAUGAUUCCUGCAGCACACAGCAGAGGCCAUAUGAUGCUUAUGGACUGUUUCAACUGCUCUCUCACAGGUCUUCUUGUGAUGUACCCCUCACAAAUUCCUCAGUUUUCAGUCUUCAGAAGAUCCUUCCUCUUUGGAUAUGUUUCUGAGGGAAGCUGCAGCAAUUUGCAGGAGUCUGGACCGUGUUGGUCUCCUCACACCCCUUGCAUUGCACGAGAUAUAGCCAGCAUGUCCUGCUACCCCAGGAGAGGGUGUGGAAGACAACUCAUCAAGCCCAGAGCCCACCCUGGCUUGGCUCACCAGGGCUUGCAUUUGGAGGGUGAAGGGGGGCUAAUGAGCCACAGGCCUUGUCUCAAGCCAGGGUACUAAGAUGGGGAAAAAUCUAGAGGGAGAAAUUUGGCCCCACAUAAAAAGGGGUCACCUGGGAAGUCUCUGGAGGGGACAAGGCAGCUGUGCUGGUUCUAGGUCUGUCCCAGGGAGGGCAAGCAGUCCAGGCCAUU